CCAGAGAUGGCGGGCCCCCGGGCCCCCGUCCCCAACCCUUUGUUGACAAACCUCUUUGCCUCGGGGGCAGAGCGGCCCCGCCGCCGCCGCCCCCGGAGGACCACCGAACUCUGUCUCUGUACGUCGGAGUCUUUGAUUAAAUGAAUGA
This 148-nucleotide unclassified non-coding RNA is filed under the name uncultured Dothideomycetes. RNAcentral describes it as "sequence contains ITS1". The record is from RNAcentral. Lineage: Eukaryota; Fungi; Ascomycota; Dothideomycetes.